ACAGUACAAACUGAGCAGGCAAUGACCCGAUUGGGCAUAGGGCCGGGCCGCAAGUGCGGCAGCAGAUCGUUUUGAACAUCUGUGGGACAGUU
Molecule: non-coding RNA, 92 nt
Filed under: unclassified sequences
Description: NiCo sequence
Rfam family: NiCo (Nickel/Cobalt) riboswitch aptamer
Source: RNAcentral